Molecule: long non-coding RNA, 1243 nt
Organism: Varroa destructor (honeybee mite)
Lineage: Eukaryota; Metazoa; Arthropoda; Arachnida; Mesostigmata; Varroidae
Source: RefSeq, a predicted model, not a curated record
UCCACCUGCUGUACACUGCACUGCCGGAGACAAUACCGAAAGCUUUGCCGCGAAACCCUACAUAUAAUUACAUCGACCUCAUUCGAUAGUAGCCCACGUUUGUGUGUGCGUCCCUAGAACACUGGAACACUUCGCGAUAGAACAAAACGGAUGCUUCCAAGUUGCCUGGAGCAGUCCAGAGUCCUCAUCGGUUUCUCGGGCAUUAGAGGACGCCAAUGCUUUUCCGUAGGAACGUUCAACUACAGAGCGUUUUGACCCAACAGGACGCAAAGAGUUUAAAACGUUAUCCACGUGUGUUGUCAUUUGGUCCCCUGGGGGAGCGUACUAGGCAGCGUCAUCUCUUCCGUAAUUCUUUUUCAGGAGCAAACCUCCGCUGAGUUCUUCUGUCGGUCGUACCAAAAAGGCAGGUAAAUUCUGGGAUGAGCUAAAGCGAAAGCCAAACAAACCGUCGUUCCAAGAUAACUCAAUACUGAGACAAUGCAUCAUUGCGCCAUCUCCUAUGACGAACAAAAAGGGGCCGUGCGCCCUUUCAAAGCGAACCCCUAUAAGCUGCUAUUUGAGAAUGUCGAACCUUUAAGCUGGAAAGGUUAUGACCUAACCUGCCAUAGCUCAGUCGGAUCUUAGAGUCUGCGCAGAGAACAGGGAUCCAGGGCGUCACAAGGUUAACUUCACUGCUUAGCAUAUAUAUGAGAAAUCCCGAAGCGUGACAAGGGACUGUAUGGGAUGUCUGGGUUGCCGACUUUGUCGCGCCGGCAACAUCGAUGACUUUUGCUGCGAUGGAAAAGGUAGAAACGAGCAAAAUUCUCAACGCUAAAAGUCGCUGGCGGAUGCCAAUGUACAACAGUGGCGCUAGAACGUUUCGAUAACUGUGCAUCUACAUCGUCGGCUUAGGUACAGCGAAGUCAAAGUGGGCCGCAAUGGCCACGGAUGUCACAUUCGCUGGAGUAUGGCUAUCUGGGACUGGUAAAAGAGGAUGAUUUUUAUGUUAGGACGAGUCUGCCGCUCAGCUGGAACUACCCUGAAUGUGUUUGACACGCUGAAUUUAUGCCGGCACAAUUCUGUUUCCUGCUGAAGCCGGCAGCAAAUCGCUUACUGGUAGCGGCGGUGGUAAUGGAACUGAAUUAGGGAAGAGGCUAAUGUUUUCUACCAGUUACUAUUAAAGCCAGUAUUGUUUCUGCUGUUGGACCAACGAAUCAGCGACUAGGACACCGUUUAGGCCUGUAACGAUAAUAGCCGCCAUCGC